ACAGGCGUAGGCGAUGGAUAACAGGUUGAUAUUCCUGUACCACCUAUAAUCGUUUUAAUCGAUGGGGGGACGCAGUAGGAUAGGCGAAGCGUACGAUUGGAUUGUACGUCUAAGCAGUGAGAUUGAGUGUUAGGCAAAUCCGGCACUCUUAAGAUUGAGCUGUGAUGGGGAGAGGAAAUUGUUUCCUCGAGUCGUUGAUUUCACACUGCCGAGAAAAGCCUCUAGAUAGAGAUUAGGUGCCCGUACCGCAAACCGACACAGGUAGUCAAGAUGAGAAUUCUAAGGUGAGCGAGCGAACUCUCGUUAAGGAACUCGGCAAAAUGACCCCGUAACUUCGGGAGAAGGGGUGCUCUUUAGGGUGCAAGCCCAGAAGAGCCGCAGUGAAUAGGCCCAAGCGACUGUUUAUCAAAAACACAGGUCUCUGCUAAACCGUAAGGUGAUGUAUAGGGGCUGACGCCUGCCCGGUGCUGGAAGGUUAAGAGGAGUGGUUAGCUUCUGCGAAGCUACGAAUCGAAGCCCCAGUAAACGGCGGCCGUAACUAUAACGGUCCUAAGGUAGCGAAAUUCCUUGUCGGGUAAGUUCCGACCCGCACGAAAGGCGUAACGAUUUGGGCACUGUCUCAACGAGAGACUCGGUGAAAUCAUAGUACCUGUGAAGAUGCAGGUUACCCGCGACAGGACGGAAAGACCCCGUGGAGCUUUACUGUAGCCUGAUAUUGAAAUUCGGCACAGCUUGUACAGGAUAGGUAGGAGCCUUUGAAACGUGAGCGCUAGCUUACGUGGAGGCGUUGGUGGGAUACUACCCUAGC
This 808-nucleotide ribosomal RNA is filed under the name Brevibacillus laterosporus. RNAcentral describes it as "partial 23S ribosomal RNA". It matches the Rfam family "Bacterial large subunit ribosomal RNA", at positions 1405 to 2209 of the family's 2925-position model. Lineage: Bacteria; Bacillati; Bacillota; Bacilli; Caryophanales; Paenibacillaceae. The record is from RNAcentral.